Molecule: long non-coding RNA, 8343 nt
Organism: Rattus norvegicus (Norway rat)
Lineage: Eukaryota; Metazoa; Chordata; Mammalia; Rodentia; Muridae
Source: RefSeq, a predicted model, not a curated record
UUAAAAAAGUUGCCCCAAAUAUUUCCCCCCAGGAGAUAGUUAUGUGAUGAUAAGCUUACAAUGCUUUAUUGCUGUGCCUUUGACAUAUGAUUUAACCCAUUGAUGCAAUGUCAGGAUUCUCUGAUUUGCCUCUCUCUGCCCUUGCCUAUAGGAAGGAGAUUCUAAGAUGAGAACAGAAGUAAAUCUAUAUUAUAUUAGGGUCUGACAGAGACGGUGAAGUCUUCCUGCAAAAUUAUGCUGGGAAAUUAUGAGGCCCAUCCCUGAGGUGAGGGAUCACACUGAAGUCUGGCUCCAAGUGUUCUUCCUACUUAAGCUUCUAAGGCCAAACGAUAACAGACAAAUACACUGCUGGAAACUGAUGGUGUGGUGCUUCACUCUUCCAACUAUUUCCAGAAAGGUAGCUUUCACUACUGGAAAAAUCUUUAAUACAAAGUAGAGGAAAUUUAGAGAUCCUUGCCCUGGCCUGAUGGGUGGUCAGUUCCUGAUAUGAGUCAACAGGCUCGGGAACAGGGUGUUCUUAGCAUUCUAGCCCACUGAGAGAGUUCAGGUAGAGGAGAGAGAAAAGGUCCCCUCCCAUGGAACCUGCAGGCAUGCUCAGCAGAAGUGAGCAGCUCUGUCAGCUAAGCUGCCAGCCAGCUGAGGCUGCUUCUCAUACUAGAGAUGCUCAAUUAUUUUUCACCAGAACAUAUCAUCUCUUCACUUCAUCAUAAGGCUGUUAGCUCACUUUAGAAAGAGAAAACAUGUCACGGUCUCUCUGUGUCUUCCCGUCAUACAUCUGAGCCAGCCCAGCCACAGCUCAUCUUUGGCAAGUUUAAUGAGUUUUCUUUCCUAUCUCUUUUCCAUCACUGAGAUCAUCUUUAAAACAUGUAAAAGGAGUGGACUCUGCCCGGUGCUCAAAAUCUUUCCCUCUUCUGCCUCCCGGUCAUGUUGACCUGGCCUUGACAAACCCUGCUAUGACUUUAGCCGCUAACCUGAUGCUCACCUAAUGUGCUGAUGAAUCAUUCUUACUGAUGAAUGUGGCCUACAGAGGUAGGAGACAUCAUAAGACAGGACCUAGUACAGCCUGUAUGGCUACAUCCCUUCACUCUGUCAGGCCUAUCCUACUGGCCUAGAUUCAGACUGGCUAUGACAUGCAUUCUUACAGUUACCUUGACCUUAAGAAAAAUAAGUUCUCAAAAGUAUUUUUCCUAGUUUGAUGGGUUUAGAUAAGCAGCAUCUUGUUUUUCCUGGACCAAAUGGAGCAGUCAGCCUACUAUUCUCCCUCAUGUCCUCUCAUACCAUUUAUCUCUGCACAUCCUUUGAGUGUAUCUCUAGUCUGUCUCCAGAAGUCUCUAGUCUGUCCCCCACCCCCCUCCUGCUCUCUCUUUGAUCCUGGUUGCUGUCCAGAAAGAAUGCAGAGCAGACUUCAAUGCUGGGCCAGUACUUUUCCAUUGUAUCAUUUCCUCAGCAUCUGACAAAGUCCUAGCCUCCUUUAUAAAACAUCAUUUGGAUUAAAUAAUAACAGUCCUCAUCUUCACACUUGCAAGGUGUGGUGGAACCGAACCAUACAACUCAGCCUUUCCCACAAAUCUAACAAACAAACCAAGAGCAUAUGAUUAUUCUUCAAUAGCUUUCUUUGAAGGGAAGAAGACAGGGUGUUCUGGGCCUAUUGGGUGAAGCCGACUUCCUUGACACAGGCUCUGUUCUCCCAUAGAACAGGCAGGCUACCCUGACCUAACAAGGCCAUCUAAAACUUUCGCCUUAGGAACAGACAAACUUUGUGAUUCCUCUAAAAUGAAGAGUCUGCUUUGAAGUGGGUGUUCCAACAGUGUGUGGGAUACCACAGCUCUGACCAGCAAUGAGUCACGAGUGGCCAAGGGUGGGUGUUUCACUGAUGGCUAAGGGGAGUCGAUCAUCUGAGGUUAUGACACUGAGCGAAGUGCCUAAUGAUAGCUUCUCUAGCUACUUGGGAUUGAAAUGACAAGCUAUGCCCUCUAAGAGGUUUAGCUGAAGGAGACACACGCCAGCUUAUUGAAAACCCUUUCCUAUUAGCACCGAUAGCAAUUAAUUACAAACAUCUAUGCUGAUUUAUGGACACCUGCUUAGCAUCAACCACACAGGCCCACCCCUCCAAUUAUUUAGUGAUACAAUGUCCCAUUCAUUUUGCUCAGGGCAGUCAAGACUUUUCUAAUUUCCUGUGGCCACCUUAAGCUCUGUGUAUAUCUUCCUCUUCCAAAUUACCAACAGGCCUCGAACAGAUUUGCCUGGUUUUGAAAACAGCAGGAGGCACCGUUUGAACUUUCUGAAAUGCAGAUACAUGCGUGAGCACACGCGCGCGUGCACGGAGGUCACUCAAUCCAAGCGCAAUAUGAUAAGGUCCUUUAUAUGCAAAUGUCCUGGAGUCUUAAUGCUCAGGCAUACACGACUUCCAUUUUCCAUCUCACUUUAGGGCUGUAUCACAAUUGGAUGUGCUUCUUAUUUAUAACACCAUUUUUGCAGCAGUAAAGAGAUCCAGGAUAAGUGACGAGCAAAGUGACUUCAGAAGUCAGCCUAGGACAUUACUCCCCACGCCUAGUCCUUACCAAUGUCAAGUGCAAAAUUUAAAUUAACAGGCACUUCCCUUAUUGAAAUGACUUCAGCACUUUUGCUGUCUCCCAUUGAUUUCUAUUUACUUUGGCAUCUACAGGCAGGAAGAACAUAUUUUUUGUGCCUGACGAAGCCACCUACGACUUCACCGGGUCCCUAGCUGGAAUACAGUGCUGCUGUGAGCUCACGUGAGGGUUAACAUAAUCCGAGAACACUAUGUACGUGAUUUCUCUCCAGACCUUCCCUUCCCAUUGGCAUUCCCUUAGAGCCACCUCUCUGCUGUAUUUUCAUAUUAAUAAAUGAUCUAUAGGACUCUAACCUAGCAGUAAAUACGCUGUCAGAAGCAUCUUAAUACUAACUGGCUUGUCUGAAAAUAUGUUAUUGGUCAGAUAAUAUGGGUAAGGGGUAACUUCGACUCCCUCCUAGCUUAUGGAAAAGUCCAUAAGUCUCUGUUGAAGUAAGUGUUGUGUGUGUGUGUGUGUGUGUGUGUGUGUGUGUGUGUGUGUGUGUGUGUGUGUGUGUGUUUAUGUGUGUGUGGAGGAGGGAGUUGUUUCUGUUUUUGUUUUUUGUUUUUUUUUCUUAUGGUCCAAGCUGGCUCCAGAAGAGCCCAAAUAAGUUUGAAUUCAUUUCUUGGUUUGGGGUUUGUUUUCUGUUUGUUUGUUUGUUUGUUUGUUUUGUUUUGUCUUGUCUGUUCUUCAAAAGCAAUUCAUUUCAGAGUUAGUUCUUAGAGUUCAAAAAUGGAAUAAAAGCAUUCAGAAGGUAGCUGUAAUUAAAAUGCAAACAUGGUGUAUUUGAUUCGUCUAGCAAAGGUAGUGAGCCAGGAAGUUCAGAAAAUAUUUGCUCCCUCUAAUUUCAGACUAAAAUGACUUCAGUGAUUCAAUGUCCCCUUGAACCUCUCUUUUGGGCACUACAGGUGGAAGCAGGAAGUGUCCCUGGGACAGAGGAAGAACUCUCAGGCUGUGUCACCAUAGCUAAGCCUCUGCUUUCUCGGGAAUGUCAUAAAAUAAGGCCAUGUAAAGACCAAUUUGGAAGCCUCUUAGACACACUGAGGUCACCGGCUUUUCUGAACUUCCUGGCUAACCUUCCAUGGUUCACAGGCCCUGACAGGAUACAAGGAACCUGUGUGGCUCAACGUUGGGUGGGAGGAGAGAUGUGGUACCAGGCAGGAGGCAGGAGGUGGCAGCCCAACCAGAACACCUGAGAGCAGGGCGUGAGCUGUUUUAAUGACCUCAGAUAGCCAGGGCCUCUGUUUUAUGUCUUAUCGCAAUUACUGGGAAACCAGGCUCGAGAGUGGUGAAAGCAUCUGUCGGGCCACAUGCAUGUUCGCCACGGGUGUGCUGCUCCUUCAGAUCUAGCUGCAACAGGCGCCAGACCAGCCCAAAUGUAUUUCUUUGAAGAAUUAUGUACAAAAGUCACUUCUUGGAAAUUCUGAGUUACUCUAGAAGGAUCCUGGGUACUUACUGGCCAUGCCUUUGAAGCUUUGGCUAAUGAGACUGAUAGAAAACCACUGGCCAGGCCCUGGUGUAAGUGGACAUUUCCCAAGGAGAAAUUUUAUGCAGAGAAAAAUGCUCUCAUGGAGUCUUCCGUCAUAGAGAUAAGUGGUUUCCCAGACAUCUGUGGCUCUGGGACAUUGUCAUCUGGACAUUGUUCAGCCAGGUCUUAAAACACGUCACUUCUAUUCUCCCUCAGGCACUCAGAAAGCCUUUCCUAACUUCUAUGUUCCAGAGGCUGGGAAUAUAGCCGUGAGUGGUACUGGCAGGGUCUUACUCAGAUUCUCAGACAAGAGACAAUUAAGUAGUGUUAAGUGGGGUGAGUGUACAGAAAAUAAGACCUCAACCUGAACUGACAAACAGCACUGCUUCUCGGAACAGUCACACAGGCCACCAUCAGUUCACAGGGCCAACCUCAGAAUAAAGGAGCUGUGAGAACAAUUUCUCUGAAAAGGGAUAUGGAGUCUUCUGGGCCCAGAAAUGGUUUCUACUUACAUCCUUUGAAAAUUUCCAAAGGAGCUUGAGACCCCAUAUGAACAACAAUGCCAAGCAACCAGAGCUUCCAGGGACUAAGCCACUACCUAAAGACUAUACAUGGACUGACCCUGGACUCUGACCUCAUAGGUAGUAAUGAAUAGCCUAGUUAGAGCACCAGUGGAAGGGUAAGCCCUUGGUCCUGCCAAGACUGAACCCCUAGUGAAUGAGAUUGUUGGGGGGAGGGAAGUAAUGGGGGAGGAUGGGAAGGGGAACACCCAUAUCGAAGGGGAGGGGGAGGAGUUAGGGGGAUGUUGGCCCAGAAACCGGGAAAGGGAAUAACAAUCAAAAUGUAAAUAAGAAAUACCCAAGUUAAUAAAGAUGGGGAAAAAAUGAAUCAAAAUGUGAUUGUUUAGCACCUCAGAAUGCAGGCAGUGAACGGAUUAUGUCUGUCUUAUGUCCAUUUACCAAUUCUUUAUACAUGCUAUUCUUAAAAGCUCUUGAGAAGUAGUGAUUGGGGGUUCCAGAUGCAUUUAUCCAUUAUGUAGAUGUCAAGAUAGCAUUUAGUGUACUUACUUGCUCAACUGAUUUGCUCAAUCCAAAAAUCACAUUUAAAUCUCUUUUUUUAAAACAACCUGGAAGUCUCCACAUCCCUUUUUAGAAAAAGUGCUUUUGAACUUCCUUUAUCCUUCUCUAUUUCCUGACCCAAUUGCCAGAGAAAAUGUCAGUGGUCCUAUGUCAUAAAAGCUUCCCUGGUAUGCUUUAAGGGGUUUCUCCAUUAUCCUCACUUAUAAAUGAGAAAAUUAAACAUUAAGACACAAGAGACUUCCAUAGGAUCACACAGCCGAUGGGAGCUUUUCUGGACAGCACUCUGCGGGUGAUCCCUUGAAUGGCCUGUUCCCAUUGUCAAGGUCCCCCUUCUCUGAUGCCUGUUGGAAGAUUCUGACUUGAAACCUGUAUCCUAGGGAAAUCCGCUCAACGUCUGUUGGAGGAGAAAGUGUGUAACACAGACACUUGCAGAGGUCCCAAAGCCAGAGAAGGAAGAAGCAAAGCAGACUAGAGCAUUCAAGGUUCCUCGAUUCUAGACUUUCAGGAGAAAACUCUUUCUACCAAAAGAGAUCUCAGGGAAAGACAAGAGCCAGUAAUAAAAGCAGAGCGGUUCCCACAAGAACCGCAGGAGCCAUUGGUCCAAGGCUGAAUGACUGUACACACAGAACACGGAGGAAGAAGCUGAAGGGCACAGCUGGGUUCACAUCCCUACCAUCAACAGUCAACCGCCAGGAUCCCUGGGAUUCCCGCCCCCAACCCACCCCAGCACCAGGAAACAGACAGCAGUGAGGCUUUGAAAGGGCAGUCAUGGAGAUUCUUUCCCAGUUGACUAGAUGUAAUGUGUAACCCUUACCAGACCAGUAUGAAAGAUGUCAUCAGUUCAACCCCAAGCAUGUGCGGGAGAAUUGCUUUUACAACAAUGAGCAGCGGGCAUCUGCAGUCUUGAGCCGCUAAAUUAACCACCUGCAGUUAUCAAACCAGAAGGGGAAAACAUGGGCAAGGAAUGCAGGUGAAAGCUAUUUUCGUGGAUAAGAACGAGUUCUCUGACCCAAGAGGUGUUGAAGCAUCACUCGGUCCAGAUGUGACAGAGGGAAUUCAGACAUCCAGGUGCUUCAGACAGACCACAAUGAGUUUCAAACCUAGUCAUUCACCAUGGUCUCCUGAGAAACUUUCAAAGAAUACGUCUUGCUAUGCCUGUGCUGGAUGGAGAGAACCACCAGGCUGGGAACAAGACUUAAAGAAUCGGUAAUUCAGAGACUCUAGGGCUCUGUGAGAACUGGUAAUCUUUACAGAGGAUGGCUGCGAUCCCUGUAUGGUCAGGAAGUCUGUGAUUUCCUACCAAGGUUCUGAACCUCAUCUACCACAUAUGUACAGGGAGAAAGUGACCUGUGUAGACAGCCAGCCACUGGGAAAUGGCUUUUCCCCACCACACAGUAUAGUGUUUUGCAUAUUUGCUGAUGUUCCCCCCAAAAGCAUGCAGAAAUGAAUCAUUAUUGAAACAAUUUACUUUCAGUUAGUGCAUGAAUGCCUUCCCAGGAUGCCCUGAUGCUUUGUUUGUCCUCCUAUAAAAAUUAUUUAUGACCCAAGUGUGAUCUUUUAAAUCAGAAUACUUAUUCCUGAAAUCAAAGCUCCGGCAUGCUAAUGCAAGUAGAAACCUCGAUAAUUUUUCAAAGCUGUGUUGAAUAUUCAAAAGCUGGAGCUGAAGGAAAGGAGUUAACAUUAAUUAAUAUUUGAAGCAGUAAAAUAAAAGCAACAGUGAAGCUAAUUUUGCAGGACAAUUAAUCAUGAGUCUUGCUAAUUACACAUGGGAUUUUUUGCAAAUGAUUUUUUUUUCCUCAGGUAGCAAAGUAAAAAUGAUAAUCCACUACCCAUCAAAAUCAUUGGCUCCUCACCAAUGUCCCCAGCAAGAGCAAUUAGUGGGAACAGCAGAGCCCUAGUAAUUGCAUGUCAAGAGAGGAGAGCGGGAGGAUUUUAAUUGCUCUAAAUAAAGACCACUCGCUCAAACGUACACCUGAUUGUCCAAAACAGCCCUGCAAGCCAGAGCAAGCACGCCACGGCUUCCAGGUGCCCGCACAAAAAGAACUCUGUGGGAGCACUCUUCUCCCGGCAACCCCUGCAGUUUCUGGAAGAAAAUAUCAAUAUGCGUUCAUGCUCUGAACUGCACUGUCAUCACUUGGCUAUAAGAACCAAAAAAAAAAAAAAAAAAAAAAAAAAAAAACACCCACUUGGGAAAAUGUCCAUAUUCUUUAUAUUUGCCAAAUAUUUAUUGCUGACAUUUUUUUUGAAGAACUUUAACUAUCUACAAGGUGCCAAGGGCUUCAAAUUUACUGAAUUUUAGGAUCCCCAAUAAAAUGUUUUUAACAAGACAUCUCAAGAGGGCAUAAAAUAAAAAAUUACCAUAUUCAUGAGUGUGAGCCUCUAAGAUUGCAAUGCUAUAAACUGGAUGUUUAUAAUUUGCUUGUGGCUUUCUUAAUUAAAAACUGGUAAUUAGGAACUCAAGUACUAUUUUUUUUUCUGCACUUCAGCUCCUAUACUUUCUCUGCCCCUGUUACUUCUCAGCUUAAUACAUGUACACACGGAUGCACACAAUUGCAAAUGAUCAAUAAUAUUUAACUGUGUGUCUAAAACCUAAAUGAUGAUGGAUACAUUUAAAUAUUGCUUUCCAGGACAUUAUUAUUCCAACGGCCAUGCUGGGGCUUAAACAUUUAGUUUAAACACGACAGCUACCAUUUCUUGCUCUUCCUAUGCACCAUUUGCUCUCGGGUUUUAAACGGAAUUGCUGAAGAGCUUACUCAUAGCUAUUGUCUCCCCCAGUCCCUCUGCCUACCGUUGCGUGGUUAACUGUACCAUCCCGAGAAUUCAGACCCCCAGCUCUUCCCAUCAUUAGCUUCGUGGAAGGGAACGGUAACCUUAACGGUCGCACUUUCUCAGCACGGCCAGAACUGUGCGCCUUGCCUACUGCACCAGAACCAAGAGCAGCAAAGAAUCCUGGGAGAGGGAGCCGCUUCCUUGGCUGAAUCGCUAGCAGAUCACAGGAACCACUUGGUAACACUGUCUCCAGAUGAAAGAUCUCCAAAUAACCUGGACCAACUGCCACAGAGGAAGAAACAGCAGAUGCGAUUUUCCUCUGUGAUGGGCAGAGCCACUAUCGACCUUUGCAGAAGCAGCUCUUUUGUGAAUCUGAGCUUGGCUGGUUACUACCAUACCAGCAUUGUGAAUUGUGAAUUGUUUUGAAGGUUGAAAAUGAGCUUUACUGUGUUCUUCA